This 515-nucleotide ribosomal RNA is filed under the name uncultured bacterium. RNAcentral's name for it is "partial 16S ribosomal RNA". It matches the Rfam family "Bacterial small subunit ribosomal RNA", at positions 28 to 523 of the family's 1533-position model. The record is from RNAcentral.
GAUGAACGCUGGCGGCGUGCCUAAUACAUGCAAGUCGAGCGAAUGGAUUAAGAGCUUGCUCUUAUGAAGUUAGCGGCGGACGGGUGAGUAACACGUGGGUAACCUGCCCAUAAGACUGGGAUAACUCCGGGAAACUGGGGCUAGUACCGGAUAACAUUUUGAACCGCAUGGUUCGAAAUUGAAAGGCGGCUUCGGCUGUCACUUAUGGAUGGACCCGCGUCGCAUUAGCUAGUUGGUGAGGUAACGGCUCACCAAGGCAACGAUGCGUAGCCGACCUGAGAGGGUGAUCGGCCACACUGGGACUGAGACACGGCCCAGACUCCUACGGGAGGCAGCAGUAGGGAAGCUUCCGCAAUGGACGAAAGUCUGACGGAGCAACGCCGCGUGAGUGAUGAAGGCUUUCGGGUCGUAAAACUCUGUUGUUAGGGAAGAACAAGUGCUAGUUGAAUAAGCUGGCACCUUGACGGUACCUAACCAGAAAGCCACGGCUAACUACGUGCCAGCCGCCGCGGUAA